CGGAACGGGUGAGUAAUGUCUGGGAAACUGCCCGAUGGAGGGGGAUAACUACUGGAAACGGUAGCUAAUACCGCAUAACGUCGCAAGACCAAAGAGGGGGACCUUCGGGCCUCUUGCCAUCGGAUGUGCCCAGAUGGGAUUAGCUAGUAGGUGGGGUAACGGCUCACCUAGGCGACGAUCCCUAGCUGGUCUGAGAGGAUGACCAGCCACACUGGAACUGAGACACGGUCCAG
Molecule: ribosomal RNA, 233 nt
Filed under: uncultured bacterium
Lineage: Bacteria
Description: partial 16S ribosomal RNA
Rfam family: Bacterial small subunit ribosomal RNA
Source: RNAcentral